AUAAGGACAAAAACUAACUAGAAAGUGCAUUUUCUGAAGAAACUGCAGUGUGAAUGCUUGAAUCUGAAUGUAUGGACUGAAAUGAAUUAAUUGCUGAAUUUUGAGUUAAAAAUUUUGAAUGAGAUAAAAAAACAAAAAAAACAACCUGAAUUUAACCUGAAAACAACAGUGCUGAACUGCUAAAAGCUGAAGGUUACACAGAAGAAGAAGUUGGAAAAAAGCUGAAAAUGUUUUAAUUGUAAAUUAGAAAAACCUAAGAAAUGAGAAAAGAACAUUUAGAGUCAGAAAACAUCUGAAAGAAUAUUAAAAGGUCAUAUUCUUUGAAUCACUGAAUGACUAAAAUGUGAUCCCUCCACUUGGACCCACACAGUUUAAAAAGUUUACAUCUCUGAGCUUUGAAAGACAAGAUGUUGGAAAAAGAACAACGAUGGCGACGUUUUGAGGGUAAAAUGAUGGCUGUAACACUGUGGACACAGCAGCAGUUGAAAGAGAAGUGUUUAAGAUGAAUCUUGGCAGAGUGAGAGAGAGAGCUCGUUAAGCAGGCAGGUGUGAGCCUGGUUGCUAUAGUGACCGCACCCAAUGGCUCCAUACACACGGACACAGACAUGCACCUCACUUUUGCUGCUUAAAAUGAACAGAAAAGUCAGGCCGAAACAAAUCGUUCCCAAAUGAAAAGUAAAAGUCGUAUUGACAAAAUUCUUUCACCGUGAGCGACAGCAGCUUCUAGUCUACCGAAUUCUCAGUUUUCAUGCCUGUGGAGUUUAUUAUAUGGACGUGGUGACAGUGUAAAGACACCAUGCUCUUCUGAUUUUCAAACGAACCUUCUGAGCCAUUUUAACAUUAGAGUCUAUGGAAGAGUUGGAGGGAGGAGGCUGUGCAUUGGUGACAUUUAUGAAAGAACCAUAACACCUAGUACAAUAGUAAACACAUUGGAUGAAAGAGGACAGCCAUGGCUACGUUUUGAGGGUAAAAUCAUACCUGUAGAGCAAACGCUGCGGACACAGCAGCAGUUUUAAAAAAGAUUUUAAGAUAAAUUUUUUUGCUCCUCUCACUCUAGCAGUUGAGCUGCCUCACUCUAGCCCC
Long non-coding RNA from Astatotilapia calliptera (eastern happy), 1083 nucleotides. NCBI's taxonomy places the organism in Eukaryota, Metazoa, Chordata, Actinopteri, Cichliformes, Cichlidae. The record is from Ensembl.